This 28-nucleotide small RNA is filed under the name Bombyx mori (domestic silkworm). RNAcentral's name for it is "ovarian small RNA-12267". The record is from RNAcentral. Lineage: Eukaryota; Metazoa; Arthropoda; Insecta; Lepidoptera; Bombycidae.
AGUCAACUGAAUGUCAAUUUCUUGCAGC